AACGACUCUCGCAACGGAUAUCUCGGCUCUCGCAUCGAUGAAGAACGUAGCGAAAUGCGAUACUUGGUGUGAAUUGCAGAAUCCGUGAACCAUCGAGUCUUUGAACGCAAGUUGCCCCCAAGCCAUUAGGCCGAGGGCACGCCUGCCUGGGUGUCAUGCACCGUCGCCCCUCCGACCCCGCCCUCGGGCUCCGGGGGAAGGGGGCGGAAGAUGGCCUCCGCGAUCCGUGGGUCGCGGUUGGCCCAAAAGCGAGUCCCCGCAACGACAGCGCCGUGACGUCGGUGGUGGAGCUCCGUGCCUCGUCCCCGGUGACGCGCGCUCGUUGUCCACCGGACCCUUCGGACCCCCGCAUCGCUCGAUCGAUGCUCGUAUUGUGACCCCAGGUCAGGCGGGAUCACCCGCUGAGUUUAAGCAUAUCAAUAAGCGGAGGAAAAGAAACUUACUAGGAUUCCCCUAGUAACGGCGAACGAACCGAGAAGAGCCCAGCUUAAGAAUCGGGCACCCCCGGCAUCCGAAUUGUUGUCUGGAGAAGCAUCCUCAGCGGUGGACCGAGCCCAAGUCCCCUGGAAAGGGGGCCGGAGAGGGUGAGAGCCCCGUUGUGCCCGGACCCUGUCGCACCACGAGGCGCUAUCCGCGAGUCGGAUUGUUUGGGAAUGCAGCCUCAAUCAGGCGGUAAAUUUCAUCCAAGGCUGAAUACGGGUGAGAGAUCGAUAGCGAACAAGUACCGUGAGGGAAAGAUGGAAAGGACUUUGAAAAGAGAGUCAAAGAGUACUUGAAAUUGUCAGGAGGGAAGCAGAUGGGGGUCGGUGAUGCACCGGAUUGGAUGUGGAAUGACGAGAGCCGGUCUACCAAUCAGCUCGGGACGUGGAUCGAUGCAGGUCGUAGCGGCAGCCCAAGCCUGGGCUUUUGAUGUGCCCGCGGAGACAUCGUCACCAUGAUCAGGGGAAUGCAGCACAUGCCAUCUCGGCGUGCCCCGACACUGGCGUGCUCCAUGCGUCAGUCUGUGGGCUCCCCAUCCGGCCCAUCUUGAAACACAGACCAAAGAGUCUGACAUGCGUGCGAGUCAACGGGCCAAAAAACCCGUAAGGCACAAAGAAACUGAUUGGUGGGAUCCCUCGCAGGUGCACCAUCGAUCGACCUUGAUCUUCUUAGAAGGGUUCGAGUGUGAGCAUGCCCGUCGAGACCCGAAAGAUGGUGAACUAUGCCUGAGCGGGGCGAAGCCAGAGGAAACUCUGACGAAGGCCCGUAGUGAUACUUACGUGCAAAUCGUUCGUCUGACUUGGGUAUAGGGGCAAAAGACUAAUCGAACCGUCUAGUAGCUGGUUCCCUCCGAAGUUUCCCUCAGGAUAGCUGAAGCCCUCAUCGAGUUCUAUCGGGUAAAGCCAAUGAUUAGAGGCAUCGGGGGUGCAACGCCCUCGACCUAUUCUCAAACUGUAAAUAGGUAAGACGGCAUGGCUGCUUCGUUGAGCCGUGCCACAGAAUCGAGAGCUCCAAGCGGGCCAUUUUUGGUAAACAAAACUGAUGAUGUCGGAUGAACCGAAAGUCAGGUUACAGUGCCCAACUACGUGCUAACCCAGAACGCAUAAAGGGUGUUGGUCGAUUAAGACAGCAGGACGAUGGUCAUGAAAGUCAAAAUCUGUUUCGGAGUAUGUAACAACUCACCUGCCGAAUCAACUAGCCCCGAAAAUGGAUGGUGCUUAAGCGCGUGACCUAUACCCGAUCAUCAGGGUAAGGGCCAGGCUCUGAUGAAUAAGAGGGCACGAUGGUCUCCUUAAAACUCAGGGUGUGAGCCCAGACAGAGUAGUCAUCAGUGCAGAUCUUGGUGGUAGUAGAAAUAUUCAAAUGAGAACUUUGAAGGCCAAAUAGGGGAAAGGUUCCAUGUGAAUGGCACUUGCACAUGGGUUAGUCGAUCCUAAGAGACGGGGGAAGCCCGUCUGACAGCAAGUCUCGUGCGAGCUUUAAAAGGGAAUCGGGUUAAAAUUCCUAAACUGGGAUGCGACGGCUGAUGGCAACGUUAGAGAGUCCAGAGACGUCGACGAGGGCCUCAGGAAGAGUUAUCUUUUCUAUUUAAUGGCCCGCCCACCCUGAAAAUGGCUCAGCUAGAGGUAGGGUCCAGUGGUCGGAAGAGCAUCGCACAUCACGUGGUGUCUGGUGCACCCCUGGUGGCCCUUGAAAAUCUGGAGGACCGAGUGCCAUCCACGCCCGAUCGUACUCAUAGCCAUAUCAGGUCUCCAAGGUGAAUAGCCUCUGGUCAAUGGAACAAUGUAGGUAAGGGAAGUCACAAAAUAGAUCCGUAACCUCGAGAAAAAGAUUGGCUCUAAGGGCUGGGCACGGGGGUCCUAGUCCUGAACCCGUCGGCUACUGGUACACUACUCGAGCUACUCUCGCAGUGAGAACGGGUCACCUCAUGUCGGUUAGGGGACAGACUGGGAACGGCUCCCUCAGGGGCCUUCCCUAGGCAAUGAACAGUCAACUCAAAACUGGUACGAACAAGGGGAAUCUAACUGUUUAAUUCAAACAAAGCAUUACGAUGGUCCCUACGGAUGCUCACGCAAUGUGAUUUCCACCCAAUGCUUUGAAUGUCAAAGUGAAGAAAUUCAACCAAGCGCAGGUAAACGGCGGGAGUAACUAUGACUCUCUUAAGGUAGCCAAAUGCCUCGUCAUCUAACUAGUGACAUGCAUGAAUGGAUUAACGAGAUUCCCACUGUCCCUGUCUACUAUCCAGUGAAACCACAGUUAAAGGAACAGGCUUGGUAGAAUCAGCAGGGAAAAAGGACCCUGUUGAGCUUGACUCUAGUCCGACUUUGUGAAAUAACUUAAGAGGUGUAGGAUAAGUGGGAGCCCUCGGGCAAAAUUGAAAUACUACUACUUUUAACGUUAUUUUACUUAUUUCAUGAAUUGAAGGCGGGGCACGACCCCUUCUUUUGGACCUAAGGUUGGCCUCGAUCGGUCAUCCGGGCGAAAGACAUUGUCAGGUGGGGAGUUUGGCUAGGGCAGCACAUUUGUUAAAUAAUAACGCCGGUGUCCUAAGAUGAGCUCAACGAGAACAUAAAUCUUGUGUGGAAUAAAAGGGUAAAAGCUCGUUUGAUUCUGAUUUCUAGUACGAAUAUGAAUCGUGAAAACGUGACCUAUUGAUCCUUUAGACCUUCGAGAUUUAAAGCUAGAGGUGUCAAAAAAGUUACCAUAGGGAUAACUGGUUUGUGGUAGCCAAGCGUUCAUAUCGACAUUGCUUUUUGAUCCUUCGAUGUCGGCUCUUCCUGUCAUUGUGAAGCAGAAUUCACCAAGUGUUGGAUUGUUCACCCACCAAUAAGGAACGUGAGCUGGGUUUAGACCAUCGUGAGACAGAUUAGUUUUACCUUACUGAUGGUGGCGUCGGGAUAGUAAUUGAACCUAGUAUGAGAGGAAUCGUUGAUUCGUACAAUUGGUCAUCGCGCUUGGUUGAAAAGCUAGCGACGUGAAGCUAUCGUGCGUUGGAUUAUGACUGAACACCUCUAAGUCAGAAUUCGAGCUAGAAGCGACUCGUGCACCUGCCACCCGAUUGCCGACCCAUAGUAGGGGCCUAUGGCCCCCAAGGGCACAUGUCAUAGGUGUAGCCCCCACGGUGGACGAGCCGUGCGGGCCUUCUUGGAGCUCAAUUCCCAUCGAUCGAUGGGUAAAAUC
This 3660-nucleotide ribosomal RNA is filed under the name Durio zibethinus. RNAcentral's name for it is "eukaryotic LSU rRNA". The stretch from base 375 to 3553 matches the Rfam family "Eukaryotic large subunit ribosomal RNA". Lineage: Eukaryota; Viridiplantae; Streptophyta; Magnoliopsida; Malvales; Malvaceae. The record is from RNAcentral.